ACACGACUACAUUAGAUACCCGGGUAGUCCCAGCCCUAAACGAUGCGCGUUAGGUGUAUCGGUGACCACGAGUCACCGAGGUGCCGAAGGGAAACCGUGAAACGUGCCGCCUGGGAAGUACGGUCGCAAGGCUGAAACUUAAAGGAAUUGGCGGGGAGCACCACAACGGGUGGAGCCUGCGGUCUAAUUGGACUCAACGCCGGGAAGCUCACCGGAUAAGACAGCGGAAUGAUUGCCGGGCUGAAGACCCUGCAUGACCAGCUG
RNAcentral lists this ribosomal RNA (264 nucleotides) under uncultured archaeon. Its description in RNAcentral is "partial 16S ribosomal RNA". It matches the Rfam family "Archaeal small subunit ribosomal RNA", at positions 717 to 982 of the family's 1478-position model. The record is from RNAcentral.